AAGCUCGUAGUUGGAUUUAGGGACGCGCAUUCAGCGUCCGCGUUGUCGGGUCAAACCGGCAGCGCGUGGCGUUGCGGGCUCGGUCCGCUGGAGGACCAGCGUGUCAACCGGCCCGCCCGUCCCCUCCUUCUGGAUUCCCGUUCCUGCUAUUGAGUUAGUGGGGACGUCACAGGGGAUUAUCAUCGGGCGUUCGCGCGCCCGGUGAUGGUCCCUGGGGCCCAGAUCGUUUACCGUGAAAAAAUUAGAGUGUUCAAAGCAGGCAGAUUCAACUUUCUGCCACCGAAUACAUUAGCAUGGGAUAAUGGAAUAGGACCCUGUCCUCCUAUUUUCAGUUGGUUUUUGAGGACCAGGGUAAUGAUUAAUAGGGAUAGUUGGGGGCAUUAAUAUUUAAUUGUCAGAGGUGAAAUUCUUGGAUUUAUGAAAGAUUAACUUCUGCGAAAGCAUCUGCCAAGGAUGUUUUCAUUAAUCAAGAACGAAAGUUAGGGGAUCGAAGACGAUCAGAUACCGUCGUAGUCUUAACCAUAAACGAUGCCGACCAGCGAUUAGGAGACGUUGAAUACAAAACACCACCAUCAGCACGGCGAGCCAUCCCCUCGCGAGUGGGGGUGGCCCGUUUCUCUGGUGGCCCGGUGAAUGACUCCCCUAGCAGCUUGUGAGAAAUCAUAAGUCUUUGGGUUCCGGGGGGAGUAUGGUCGCAAGGCUGAAACU
This 708-nucleotide ribosomal RNA is filed under the name Acanthamoeba sp. A-T16-1-50. RNAcentral's name for it is "SSU rRNA". It matches the Rfam family "Eukaryotic small subunit ribosomal RNA", at positions 624 to 1144 of the family's 1831-position model. The record is from RNAcentral. RNAcentral also lists the same sequence under 1 other name. Lineage: Eukaryota; Discosea; Longamoebia; Acanthamoebidae.